RNAcentral lists this ribosomal RNA (334 nucleotides) under uncultured Pelotomaculum sp. RNAcentral's name for it is "bacterial SSU rRNA". It matches the Rfam family "Bacterial small subunit ribosomal RNA", at positions 1049 to 1382 of the family's 1533-position model. Lineage: Bacteria; Bacillati; Bacillota; Clostridia; Eubacteriales; Desulfotomaculaceae. The record is from RNAcentral.
GUGUCGUCAGCUCGUGUCGUGAGAUGUUGGGUUAAGUCCCGCAACGAGCGCAACCCCUACGUUUAGUUGCUAACGCGUGAAGGCGAGCACUCUAGACGAACUGCCGUUGACAAAACGGAGGAAGGUGGGAUGACGUCAAAUCAUCAUGCCCCUUAUGUUCUGGGCUACACACGUGCUACAAUGGCCGGUACAGACGGACGCAAAGCCGCGAGGUGGAGCAAAUCCUAAAAAGCUGGCCUCAGUUCAGAUUGCAGUCUGAAACUCGACUGCAUGAAGUCGGAGUUGCUAGUAACCGCAGGUCAGCUAUACUGCGGUGAAUACGUUCCCGGGGCUU